RNAcentral lists this ribosomal RNA (513 nucleotides) under uncultured bacterium. RNAcentral describes it as "bacterial SSU rRNA". It matches the Rfam family "Bacterial small subunit ribosomal RNA", at positions 28 to 555 of the family's 1533-position model. The record is from RNAcentral.
AAUCAACGCUGGCGGCGUGCCUCAGACAUGCAAGUCGAACGAUUAAAGCUCCCUUCGGGGAGUGCAUAAAGUGGCGCACGGGUGAGUAACACGUAAGUAAUCUACCUCUGAGUGGGGAAUAACAUCGGGAAACCGAUGCUAAUACCGCAUAAUGCAGCGGCACCGCAAGGUGACAGUUGUUAAGGAUUUAUCGCUUGGAGAGGAGCUUGCGGCAGAUUAGCUAGUUGGUAAGGUAAUGGCUUACCAAGGCUACGAUCUGUAACCGGUCUAAGAGGACGGUCGGUCACACUGACACUGAAUAACGGGUCAGACUCCUACGGGAGGCAGCAGUCGGGAAUUUUGGGCAAUGGGCGAAAGCCUGACCCAGCAACGCCGCGUGAAGGAUGAAGUAUUUCGGUAUGUAAACUUCGAAAGAAUGGGAAGAAUCAAUGACGGUACCAUUUAUAAGGUCCGGCUAACUACGUGCCAGCAGCCGCGGUAAUACGUAGGGACCAAGCGUUGUUCGGAUUUACG